UGGGGAAUUUUGGACAAUGGGCGAAAGCCUGAUCCAGCAAUGCCGCGUGCAGGAUGAAGGCCUUCGGGUUGUAAACUGCUUUUGUACGGAACGAAACGGCGAGCUCUAAUAAAGUUUGCUAAUGACGGUACCGUAAGAAUAAGCACCGGCUAACUACGUGCCAGCAGCCGCGGUAAUACGUAGGGUGCGAGCGUUAAUCGGAAUUACUGGGCGUAAAGCGUGCGCAGGCGGUUAUAUAAGACAGAUGUGAAAUCCCCGGGCUCAACCUGGGACCUGCAUUUGUGACUGUAUAGCUAGAGUACGGUAGAGGGGGAUGGAAUUCCGCGUGUAGCAGUGAAAUGCGUAGAUAUGCGGAGGAACACCGAUGGCGAAGGCAAUCCCCUGGACCUGUACUGACGCUCAUGCACGAAAGCGUGGGGAGCAAACAGGAUUAGAUACCCUCGUAGUCCCUGAGCGGGCUGGCAAGGCGCAU
RNAcentral lists this ribosomal RNA (472 nucleotides) under uncultured bacterium. RNAcentral describes it as "bacterial SSU rRNA". It matches the Rfam family "Bacterial small subunit ribosomal RNA", at positions 355 to 825 of the family's 1533-position model. The record is from RNAcentral.